AAGAAUUUACCAUGCAGCGUUGCUUGUAUUUGUCUUAAUCCGUCCCCAUCAGUAAGCCACUCACUGUGGAGGGAAACUCUCCUGUGGACUGAGACUUGGAAGAUGCACAGAAUACCGAGAUUAAUACUGACGGCUGGAGCGCCUGUUGGAGGGGGCGAUAAUGCCGUGCACCACCAGGCAAUUCUUUCUAUUAAGUAGCACCAAGAAACGAUUAUGAAAUGUUCUUUACAGCCUCCUGGUAGUUGGGUGAAGCCGCGCCGUGCAGAUUCCCACUGCUGCUCGGGGGAAGGGGUGCAUAGGGCGGAGGACUGCAGCAUCCGACCAGCGCUGAGCUGCCCAUCGGCGACACAACUUCUGCCUUGAGAACCUUCUCCAAAUUCCCUUCCAUUGAGGAGCAGGAUUGCGUGGCAAGCGCAGUGAUAGAUUUUGCAAGACCAAGCUGUACGCACGCUCAGCCUGGGGGAAUUUCUGAAAGUUUUCUAUUUUUCCUUUCUUUGUUUCUUUCUUUUUUUUUUUUUUUUUUUUUUUUUUCUUAACUGUCUGUUGAGGAGAUGAGCAUAAAACCCACUGGCAGGCGAGGCGUCCGCUCCUGCCUCCGUGGGGGUGGAGGCGCUCUAGAGGCCGUGUCCACCACCAGCACAAGUAAUCGAAGCAGCGUUUAGGAUCUGUUCUCACAGCAUCUCUCUCCAUCCCCGCCGGAGCCAGGAAGCACCAGUCACCUCCCAGGGGAGCUCCUUCCUGUGGAAAUUCCCAGCACAGUUUCUCAACAAAGGAGCUUGAGUGUCUUCUAAUAUAUCUUGGAUAAACAUCUGCUUGUGAUAUUCAUCCAAAAACUGGAAAUACUAGGCUUGCUUCACACUGAUUCAUUUCAGCAGCUGACCCAGCAGCACUUUAUAUACCAGUACCGAUGAUUAACUUUGGUUGACUCAAGAGGUUGUCUUUGGCCUAGAUUUAGAGUCAGGCUCAGAUCUUUAGUGGAAGACCUCAGGGUUCAUGCCUGACACCACCAAAUUGUCAUGCAAACGCAUCCACAGGAAAACAGCUGAUGUUAAUGUUGCUAUUCUACAGACGUGUGCCUCAUCUGUGCUGACUGCAGGAGAUUCAUCUGUCUGGUUUUCAGCCCAGCCUGGGAGCUGAUACAGGGACAGACCCCCUUGCCACCUUCACUGUAACUGUAGGGGUGUUUGGUUUAAGCUCCCGGCAUAGCAGAAGGUUCCAGGAGCACCAGGAGUAGCAGUUUUUCACAGGAAUAAUGGUAAAACACCUUGCUUUCCCUCUCCUUCCUGGAGGCAACCCUAUGGUUUAUUCUUUCUAUUUCCAGUGUGUUCUGGGUCAUUUCCAGGUCCAUUCACUUGAUAGCUUUCAGCCCUAUUUAAUAUGUUCCCUGGAAGGGGAGAGAAACGUGUGCUGAGAAACAAGAACGGCUGUCCUUCAUCCGAACAUCCCCGUCUGGCUGGAUUGCACCCACCCUCCCCAAACCCGCUGCGUGGCUUCAAACAGUCUCCUUGUACCCAUCCCAUGUUUAAAGCCUUCUCAGAAAAUAGGUGAAUUCCUCUAGCUACUAACCUGCUGGAGGAGCCUGUCAAGGGCUGGCUGCACGCACUUCAGUCUUCGUGAGAAUCAAAGUAAAACAAGGAGAGCCUCACAGAAAAGGGUUACAGAGAGUUUCACGUAUUUUGCAGCCUUUUCAUGGCUUAAAUUACGCUUCCCCUUGUUCUAGUUUUAAAAGGCAGAACAGAAAACUUAAUUUUAACACUGGAAAAUGAAGGCUCUUCAAUUAUUUAUAACAUUAAAAUGUACAAAUGUUUGAUCAAUGAACUUGAAAAAAACAUGCAACUACAAAACCCAUUUCACAGUGUUCUAAAGUUCAUGUGGCAGAGAUAGAGAAGUGAAAUGAUUAUUAACAGACGAAGAGCAGCAUUUUAAUAACAUUCAGGCUGUAAUAAUGAGGCUGACAAAAGCAAGGAAAUUCAAAGCCAACACUGAUCUGAUGUUCCCUCCUUAACACGUAGGCUCUCUCUAAUUUUGCAGAACGUAAGAUAUUGUAAGAAAGCUGCAGACAUGCCUGAGACCCCUCGGUGUGGUGCCCAGUGGGGUGGCAGCAGGAUGAGGUACCUUUUGUUUCAGAACUUUGUCAUUUUGUAGUGGAGUGUUUGGAAUAAACACACAGCUGUGUCUUCA
Cygnus olor (mute swan) is the source of this 2181-nucleotide long non-coding RNA. RefSeq lists it as uncharacterized. NCBI's taxonomy places the organism in Eukaryota, Metazoa, Chordata, Aves, Anseriformes, Anatidae. The transcript has 2 exons. The record is from RefSeq and is a predicted model, not a curated record.